AAGAAAACUAACAUUCAACAAAAAUAACAUGGAAGACCUAUUUGGAUGGAGGAGUUUGAUAUCUUUGAUCGCUCUGACCUGCAUUAAUACUUUUAUCUUGCAACGAUCCACGAUCUGAAGGUUGUGGAGUUGUAUUUGAUUGGGAUAAAACUGUUUUCUUCAGGUCUUCAAACAUAUCAAACAUUUCAUCAUAUUUUCUUUUUAAAACUCGAUUAUCCUGUAAAACAUUUAAGAUUCAUUGAUAUUUAUGUAUUACUUUAAAAUUUUAUUGACUAUCAUACACAUACCUCUAUUAAUUUCUCCAUUUCAGCAAAAUCUAAAAAACUUUUCAAUCCACUUUGAAAUUUCAUCAAGGUUGAACUUUCAAACAACCAUGAUUUGUAAAGCCCUUCUAUUUGAUCAACCAUUUUAGUCUAUCUUCUAACAUACAAAAAAGAUACCUCUUAAAAAUUGAUAUUUAAAUAAAAAAAGGUUCAAACAUUUCAAGAUACCUCUUAAACCAACAUUUCUAAUUCUAAAGGUAAAAGGGCCUAAAUAUAAUAUUACAGGUUAUUCUGAAUAAUUUAACUCAAUGAUACUACAAUUAAUAUAAUUUAAAUCCUCUAAGAAAAACUCAUCCAUAAAAAUAAAAUAAAAUAUCCUAUUACGAGUAAUAAAAAAAAUUAUGAAUUAAAACUAUGAAACUACUUGUGAAUAUCAACAUGUUAAACUAUGAAACAAAAUCAAAAAUAUUAAAAAAACAGACAUGAAUUAAACUGACCAAAUUCAGAAAUCAAAUCAUAACAUUUAAAAUAAAUUUUACAAAUUAUUUCAUUCAAAUUAUAAAUAGUAAUUUUACCUUGUUCUUGGAGAGCAGUGUCCUGAUUUUCUUCAGUAAUCAAGAACCAAUUAAUUUUUUUCAGUAAUAAAAAUGAAGAGCAGUGUCCUGAUUACAAAGAUCAAGAAAGAAAAAUAAGAAAUAAGAAAUGAAAAAUGAAAAAUGAAAAAUGAAAAAUGAGGAAGAUACUUAGAUAAAUCAACUCUAAACCAAAAUAAAACUAAACCAAAGCAUACUAAUCAACUCUAAAUCAAUUGAAAAAGAAAUUUAAAAGCUUAAAAAAAAAACUAAACCAAAACAGCCCAGUCGAAAAAUAAAUCAUCAUCGCCAACUUCCUUAAUUAAUGAUGGAGAGUGGAAGAUGGCGAGUGGAAAAAAACAGACAUACAUACUGAUAGACCAAGACGAGUACAUCGACACUAAUUUAAAAUCAUAUCCCGAUAAUCAUCAUCCAUCUCUAUUAACAAAGGAUCAAAUUUCUGACCAUAGUGUUCAUACUCAUCUAGAACCCCUGAACCUUGGAUAAUGAUCAAGAAAAUGAAUGUUGUAAAUAAUUCAAACAAAUAUGCAGAAUGCCCUAGUUUUGAGGAUUGGGUAGUGAGUGGUAUGGAUAAUGCUACUACUAACACGUACACUAACUCAUAUUUAGAUGAGGAUUUAAAAAAUAAAAUAACAAAACAAGCAUUGAUUUUAGUGGUCUCUAAUUAUAACGACAACUGUUCUUAAGAAAGAUCUAACUUCAAUGAAUUAAGCUGGUAAAUAUUAUUCAAACAAACAGCAAUGUGAACCUGAUUUGUCCUCUCUCUGAACACUAGCAUAUGCCUAAUUAACUUUGAUAGGUUGGCCAAACCUGCAAAUUAACAAGAUUAAAUGAUACACUUCAAAACUCCAAAUAGCACAGUGAAUAUUGUUUAUAAAAAGCCAUUUGAAGCAGAACAGUAAUUAAUUGCUUAUAGAGUUACAUAUAUAUGCAUUUAAGAAGCAUGAUACUCACCAUUAAAGAGUUUUAAAGACUUUACUUGAUUUUUAAAAGUGUUAAAAUCUUUAAAUUUGUGCCUAAAGAUGUUAAAGACAGACUAGUAUGUUUUUUGUUGAAUUUAGUAAUCGCCAAGGGACAGAGAACAGAUGUUGUCUCUAAUUAUUGUACUGCUGUUUCUAAUCUCAGAGGUACUAGGAUUAAACCAUCCAUUACAGUAUUAAACCAUCUUAAACCAGUCACAAGUACCAAAAUCAUUAAAAAACAAAAAAGAUGCAAGUCUGCAAUACGGUAAAAGAAAAGAAAAUCACACACAAAAAAAACACGCACACGAAAGAAAAUCAGAUGAAACUCUCGGACGACAAAAAGACUAAACUAGCUAGCACUUACCUGGACUUGCCGCACUGGACUGGAGUGUUAUGACGAACGAGAUUGGGGGAGUUGAUCGAGAACGCUGGUGGUUGAGAAGGAGAUUGGGAGAAAGAAAUUGGAGGAAAUGAGAUUGGGGAAAUGAUAUUGGGGGAAAUGAAAAAAAAUGAGGGAAAUAUUGGGGAAAAUGAAAUAG
This 2357-nucleotide long non-coding RNA is filed under the name Zostera marina. RNAcentral describes it as "long non-coding RNA (ZMAR_LNC002073)". Lineage: Eukaryota; Viridiplantae; Streptophyta; Magnoliopsida; Alismatales; Zosteraceae. The record is from RNAcentral.